RNAcentral lists this long non-coding RNA (1099 nucleotides) under Micromonas pusilla. RNAcentral describes it as "long non-coding RNA (MPUS_LNC000202)". The record is from RNAcentral. Lineage: Eukaryota; Viridiplantae; Chlorophyta; Mamiellophyceae; Mamiellales; Mamiellaceae.
UGCGACUGGUCCACAACCUGUUUCUCUUGGACAUACCAAGGGUCAUUUUCUAGCACCACCGGAGAGGCAGACAUUUUCUUUCUGACGGGAGAUGCAUGCAACCAGCAAUUGUUUACUUCCCUACCAACAAGUAAAUUGGCGAGUGUGACUGCUGGGUCGUCGCAGACGAUUUCCGGGACGGAAUCUUAUUCAGCAUCGACUGUUUGAAUUGUGACGGGUUGUGAAACAUCUGGUGGCUGUAUUUAUUCCUUUACAGACCUUGUACUCGCGUGUCCCGGUGACUCGUCCCCUUCGCCAUCUACUUCUACUGGCAUGAUCGCCGGCAUAGUUGCCGGCGUUGUCGUCGCCUUUCCCCCUCUUAUUUUCAGCGUGAUGGCCGCUUUCUUCAAACCACGUCUCCGCCGCAUACUUCUCAAGUGGGGAUUCAAACGCCUGGCCGACGGGAUCGUUCCAGGGCUCGGGGGGCGGAUUAGCAAAUUGGAGGCAUUCAUGGCGAAACAAAAACUCCCUCGCCUUCAUGGCUUCACCCCUGAGAUUGACCCGUCCGAGAUCACGAUAAACAAAGCGGACGUCCUCGGCACCGGAAGCUAUGGCACAGUGUACAAAGCUUCGCACAUAAGUGAGGAGGUCGCGGUCAAAGCGAUGUUCGAGAGUGCUAACGACCGACUCCCCGCGUACGCCGCGAAGUUACUGCGCAACGAAGCGAUGCUCAUGUGCUCGUUGAAUCAUACAAAUGUUGUCCGCAUCUUAGGCGCGGUCACUCAAAAAGGUUGGCUCGUCAAGGAGCUGUGCGCGGGCGGGCCACUAGAGACACGUACCUCCACGAUCCGGACAAUACACUGGACGCGAGUGACAAGGCGCGUCUCGCGACAGAAACAGCCACCGGCAUGGCGUACCUUCACAUGCGUGAGGUCGACAUCAUUCACGGCGACAUAAAAGCGGGGAACGUACUUCUAGUCUCGGACAAGUCCGUUCGGAUUUGCGACUUUGGUAUGGCCGAGGCGAAGAACCGUUCGAAAACGGUGACAUCUGCGGCCGCCGCCUCCAACGGGCGCUCAUCAGUCGCGCUCACCGUGUACGCAAAUUUAUUAUUAUUUUG